AGAACCUGUGAUGAAUGAAUUAUUAACUAAAUAAUAAAUCAACGACUCUUUAAUCAACAUUAACAGGACUUUAUAAAUAGAGUCAAAGAGUGAUUGAAAUUGUAGGGAGGGAAGCGGAUGGGGGCCGGUGAUGCGCCCCAGUCAGAUGUGGAAAGGUGAUGAGUCGGUCAGCUAAUCGACUCGGGGAGUGGACCAGCAUGGAUUGGGGGAUAUGACAAGGCCCGAGCUCUCGAUACGCCUAUGGAAUGUCGUCUCCUGAAUUUUGGUAGGCAACAUGCGCCUCUGGCGUACUACGACAUCUACGCGCUCUAGACGCUGGCCUGUGGGCUCCCUGUUCGACCUGUCUUGAAACACGGACUAUGGAGUCUGAUAUGUGUGUGAGUCAACGGGCGAGUAAACUUGUAAGCCGUAAGGAAGAUGGUUGGUGGUAUCCCCCUAAAAGGUUCACCUCUGACCGACCUUGAUCUUCUAAGAAGGGUUCGAGUGUGAGCAUACCUGUUGGGACCCAAAACAUAGUGAAAUAUGCCUUAGCGUGGAGAAGCUAGAGGAAACUCUGGUGGAGGCCCGCAGCGAUACUGACAUGCAAAUCGUUCGUAUAACUUUGGUAUAUGGAAGAAAGACUAAUCGAACCAUCAAGUAGCUGGUUCCCUCCGAAGUUUCCCUCAGGAUAGCUGGAGCUCGCGUGAGAGUUCUAUCGGGUAAAGAAAAUUAUUAGAGCACUCGGGAGAGAAAUGCCCUCGAUCCAUUCUCAAACUUUAAAUAGGUAGGACGGCCCGACUGCUUUGUUGAGCCGCGCCAUAUAAUCAAAAGCUCCACCUUUGUCAUUUUUUAUAUUCAGAAUUGGCGAUGCGGGAUGAACCAGAAGCCGGGUUAUGGUUCCAAACUGCGCACUAACCUAGAUCCCACAAAGGGUGUAGGUCGAUUAAGAAAGCAGGACGGUGGUCAUGGAGGUAGAAAUCCGCUAAGGAGUCUGUAACAACUCACUAGCCGAAUCAACUAGCCUGAAAAUUUGAUGGCAAUUAAGAAAAAUGAGUAGGAGCGCGUGGCGGUCGGUGUAAAACCUUUGGCGUCAGACUAGGCGCAGCGGCCAUCGGUGCAAAUUUUUGUGGUAGUAACAAAUAUUCAAAUGAGAACUUUGAAUUCCCAAGAGGGGAAAGGUUCCAUGUGAACUGAACUUGCAUUUGUGUUAGUCGAUCAUAAGGGUUGGGGGAGACCCGACAAAUAGCGUGUUUCACGCAUAUUCCGAAAGGGAAUCAGGUUAAAUUUUCUUUUUAACAGCCUACCCACCCCGCAUUCGACUCAGGCGAAGGUAGGGUGCAGCAGCUAUAAGAGCACCGCAUGUCGCGUGGUGUCCGGUGUGCUCCCAGAGGCCCUUUAAAAUCCGGAGGAUCGAAUAUCAUCCAUGCCCGGUCGUACUCAUAACCAAAUCUGGUCUCCAAGGUGAACUACCUCUAGUCGAUGGAACAAUGUAGGCAAGGGAAGUCGGAAAAAUGGAUCCAUAACUUGGGGAAAUGGAUUGGAUUUGAGGGCUGGGCACGGGGGACCCAGUCCCUAACUCGUCGGCUGUCGGUGGACUGCUCGAGCUGCUCCUACAGCGAGAGCGGGUCACCAUGUGCUGGCCGGGGGACGGACUGGGAAUGGUUCAUUCGGGUGCUUUCCCUGGGCAUCAAACAACCAAUUCAAUACUAGUACGUACAAGGGGAAUCCGUAUGUUUAAUUAAAACAAAACAUUGGUGAAGAAAUUCAACCAAGCACGGGUAAAUGGCGGGAGAAACUAUGACUGUCUUAAGGUAUCAAAAUUCCUCGUUAUCUAAUUACUGACGCACAUGAAUGGAUUAACGAGAUUCCCGUUGUUCCUGUCUACUAUCCAGCAAAACCAUAACCAACGGAAAGGUCUUGGCAGAAUCAGCGGAGAAAGAAGACCCUGUUGAGCUUAAUUCUACUCCGACUUUGUGAAAUGACAUGAAAGGUGUAGCAUAAGUGGGAGCUGAAAGGCAAAAGUGAAAUACCUUACUUUUAACAUUAUUUUACUUAUUCCGUGAAUCAGAAGUGGGGCACUUCCCCUCUUUUUGGACCCAAGGCUCGCUUUGCGGGCCUAUUCGGGCGGAAGACAUUGUCAGGUGAGGAGUUUGGCUGUGGCGGCACAUCUUUUUAAAGAUAACGCAAGUGUCCUAAGAUGAGCUCAACGAGAACAGAGAUCUCAUGUAGGACAGAAGGGUAAAAUCUUAUUUGAUUAUGAUUUCCAGUACGAGUAAGAACCGUGAAAGCAAGGCCUAACGAUCCUAUAGACCAUUGGAAUUUGAAGCUAGCGCGGGGAUAACUGGCCUGUGGUAGCCAAGCAUUCAUAGAGACGUAGCUUUUUGAUCCUUCGAUGUCCUCUCUUUCAAUCGUUGUGAACCAGAAUUCAGCAAGUGUUGGAUUGUUCACCCACCAAUAGGGAACGUGAGCUGGGUUUAGACUAUCUUGAGACAUGUUAGUUUACCCUACUGAUGAUAGUGUCGCAAUAGUAAUUCAACCUAGUACGAGAGGAAUUAUUUAUUCACAAAAUUGACCAUCGCUCUUGGUUGAAAAGACAGUGGCGCGAAGCUACCAUGUGCUGGAUUAUGAGUGAAUGCCUCUAAGUAAGAAUUUGAACUAGAAGUGAAGCAUGCGCCCCCUGUCCUCUUGCCGAACCGCAGUAGGGGCCUCUAACCCCCAAGGGUACAUGUCGUUAGCUAAGUCUCUGUGACGGAAGCGACACGGUGACUGUGUUGAAGUACAAUUUCCAUCGAGCGGUAGGUAGAAUCCUUUGUAGAUGACUAAAGUACGCAACAGGGUAUUGUAAUUAGCAGAGUGGCCUUGCUACCACGAUCCACUAAGAUUUAUCCCUUUGUCGCUCCGAUUCGU
RNAcentral lists this ribosomal RNA (2886 nucleotides) under Solanum pennellii. RNAcentral describes it as "eukaryotic LSU rRNA". It matches the Rfam family "Eukaryotic large subunit ribosomal RNA". The record is from RNAcentral. Lineage: Eukaryota; Viridiplantae; Streptophyta; Magnoliopsida; Solanales; Solanaceae.